CUCAUUUCCCCUAAUCUUCUGAUAGACUGCUGCUGUUGACAUGUAAUCUCCAUGGACAAACAUCUUGAUAUUAGCCACAACUGGAUCCAGCAGUAAAUGUGGGCCAUUUGUGUUCUGACA
Long non-coding RNA from Mastomys coucha (southern multimammate mouse), 120 nucleotides. RefSeq lists it as uncharacterized. The record is from RefSeq and is a predicted model, not a curated record. Lineage: Eukaryota; Metazoa; Chordata; Mammalia; Rodentia; Muridae. The transcript has 2 exons.